Molecule: long non-coding RNA, 6435 nt
Organism: Amphiprion ocellaris (clown anemonefish)
Lineage: Eukaryota; Metazoa; Chordata; Actinopteri; Pomacentridae
Exons: 6
Source: RefSeq, a predicted model, not a curated record
UUGAUAUUUUUCCAGUUUAAAAAACACAAAAUGAAAUAAAAUCUCAAUUUUUAUAAAACAUUUUCCAAAGAAAUGUCCAUAAAUCUGAUUUUAUCGAUUAUCAACCAGUAGCAGAGGCUGUUUUUAGCCUGCCUCUUUUGGUUUUAGGUCUGUUUUCUGUUUGUAUUGUGGGAUCUUAUUGGCUCGUACUCUUUUCUGUCUCACUCUGGUGGUUUUUCUCUGUUUUCUGUGGACAGGCGUCCAUCCUGUCCUUUAAUGUUCCUCCAGUCUGUGAUAGCAGAUGGAGUCUGUUGGUUUUUAACUCAAAUGACACUCAGGCCUCCACUCUCAGAUGUACAUAGUCUUUUUUUUUUUUUUGCUUUAUGUGUUCAACAGAUAUCACCAUAAGCUGUUUUUGUUUUUCUCUUCCUGUCCUGGUAUGUUUCUGUGAAAUGAAUACUAUUUUAUCACAAACUUUACUUCCUCUUUCACAUCUUUCAGACUUUUUCCAACCAUUUGCAGCUUCUACCAACACAGCUGCCUCUGAUUUUUACUCCGCCAAGGAACGGCUGAGUUAUGUGACGAUCGGCGUACGUUUGUGAAUUUGAUAAUCUGUGAAUCUGCCUGUCUGUCUGUCUGUCUGUCUGUCUGUCUGUGUGAAACAUUACUCAAAAAUGGACAAACGGAUUUGGAUGAAAUUUUCAGGGGAAGUCAGACAUGACACAAAGACCACCUCAUUAAAUUUUCACAGUGAUGCAGCUUACAAUCUGGAUCCACGGCUUUGUUAAGGAUUUCCCACUGCCAGAUAUAGCUGCUGGCACGUGUAGCUGUAACCAUGACAACAAGUGAACAAUGCAUCAGUUACCUGCUGACAAUCACAUGAUUGUGAUCCUACUACAAAUUGAAGGUCAUGUCAGUGGCGGAUCUUCCGUGGGCGUGCGGGGCAGUGGCCCCCUCUGGGAUUUGAUUGGCCACCUCGUGUGCCCCCCCCCCGCAAUUUUCGUUGGAAAUUUACAUUACUGAAACUCCGAUUUCCGACGCUCCUGAACGCAACUUUGUUGUCCGACUGCAACUGAAUGCACCAAUGACGUUAGUUUGAUCUUUUGAUUGUAUUUCGUUUGAUUUGAAGAAGCUUUGAAGACGUUUCCUGAUGCCGGAGGAGAAGACGAGCAGCUUUGUACCUUUGCGGUACUCGGGAAACGUCAUCAUCGAGACUGCAUCGGACCAGACUAGAGACAUAGAUAUGAAUCAGUAGAUCGGACACGUCCAUAGAUAUGAAUCAGUAGAUUGGACACGUCCAUAGAUAUGAAUGAGUAGAUAAGACACGUCCAUUUGAGCUGCGUGCUACUGCGAGGCUAAGCUAGUGGGGGCAGUUUCAGUGCAUUCCAUUGACGUAGACGGCGUGAAAACAGAAACAACAAAUAUGCCGUCUCAGUGUGCUACAUACAAGUGCACACUACGUCGUACGAUUGAGACAAGGAAACUUGGAAUAACUUUUCAUAGGUUUCCCAGAGACUAUGGGUUGAGGAGGAAUUGGAAGUAUGUCGGCUUUGACCUGGUGUCAUUCCAUCAGUGUUAAACUUCCCGGCUCAUCUUGGAAGAGUACGUGCCAGAAAGACCACGACCAAGCAGCCUUGAGAUCUUAGGCAGCGUCUCCCUCAGGUCCCUCUCUAUCUCCCCACACAUCCACCAACCACUGGAACACAUCUCCAAAGUUCUGCCGGGCCAGCUCAGCUUCCCCUCAGAAGAAGUGCCGCCACCUGACAGAUGAAGGAGCCUUUUGAGAGGCAGCUGGCAUCGUGAUUGGACUGUACUUUGGUCUGUUCCAGUCCAGCUUCAGCUCCAGAGACGGCAGGCGGGACGAGUCAACGGAGGCCUGGUGGACGAAGGCAUGCAGCUGAGUACAAUCCAGAAAACAACAGAGGAGGAGUUCAGGGCCCAGAGCCAGAACAAACAGAGUAACAUCACCAAAGAACUACAAACUCUUCACAACCUGCUCAAACUCUUGGUACAGGACCUCACCACACGGAUCAAGAAGGUUUCUGUCUCAUUUCUACUCUGAAGCUCACCUUCUCCUGCUCAAACUGCUGACACAUGGAGGAGCCUCAAGAUAGUCGUCCAAAUGAAACCAUACAAAAACCAAACUAGCACAACCCAAACGCUAAAGUCUCCUGCAGCCUACCAGAGAACCUCUGAGAACAGAGAAUCAGGACAGGAACUCUUACCUUCUGGACAACCAACGAUGGUUCACAAACAAGAAUACAGAAUGUGUCUGACCAAAAACCUCUGAAGACUCACUACAGCCAAGAUAAAGACACAACUCAGGUGCACCAAAUCCACUAAUCACUGCACACAUCAGCACCAUGUGCUCACUGUGGCUAAAGAACCACAUUUACCAAGACAACUAUCCAGUACAAAGCCCUGAAACACACCAAGAAACACAUUAAAGACGAUUUUACUGCUGGAAGCUGCAAGCUAACGCCUAAAGAACAAACUGAAGUAAUGGAGCCAAACCCAGUUCUGUGGUGAAGAGAAACAGAGGAAAUGUUUGUCUGCAGCCCAAUAAAGCAGGAAGACACUGAGCUGCUCAGGUGUUCCUGAUAACACCAAGCAGCCACCUGGACAGCCAAUAGGAACACAGCUUCCUGGAAGUCCAGAGGGCUGGCUUAGUGAAGGAAAUUUAAUUUAAAGUUGAAGCAGAAAGUUAACAAAGAAAGUUGAAAACCACCUUCUGAUACCUGAAAUCUCUGAGUUUUCACACAAAGAACACCUGAACAUGUCAAACUGGUUCCAUAGUAGAACCAUCAUUGUAAAAACGUCAUAGUAUGGUGUGUUGCUCAAAAAACAUUAGGACCCGGCUGUCAGGGGACAAACAUGUAAGAAACAUGAGAACAGAGAGAACCCAACCAGUAGGUCACAGUUUAUCAUCCCCCAGUCAUCUCCUGAAGUCCAUAUGCUGUAUUACAACCAGGAAGAAGACCCUUCAGAGGUGGCGAGUCAUGGUGAGUUUAAUGGACAGUUUUCUUGGCUGGUUAUUAAAAUGUCACAUCCAUAACUUCAAGAUUAAUACUGAGGUAAAGUUAUUUCUAUUUAUUAUUUAACACAAGCAAAUAAGCUUUAGUUCUAAGAAAUGUCAUACCACUAAUUAAUGAGAGGGCUAGAACCGUCUAAACAACUGUUAUUUAAAAGUAGGGAGCAUGAUUAUACAUUAAAUCAUACAGAUCUUAAUAUGGCAUUUACAUCACUUAUUCACAAGGAAUGCUUGUAAUAAUAAUACUUACUACUUCCCCUUCCAUAAAUUUGGGAAACGGGUUUGUAACUUUGGUUAAAAUGCUCCAGCUCUCUGUUAUGAUUAGGCAGACUUACUAAAGUCACUGGUUAACUCAAAUAAAGUUAACGUACAGUGAGUUUUUGUGACAGUGACACGCAAAAUUAUUUUACAAUCAGAUGUUUUUGAAGUAUAAACCCCAACAACAGAAAAGACAAGAGUAGUAGUUCUUAACAGUAACUGCAUUUGAUUUAUCAGUAAAGAAAUAUUAUACUGUAUACACAAUUAUGGCAGUGGUAUUAAAUUUGCAUACAGAUGUGACAGUCUGUUCUGGGUGUGGCAAUAUUUAAAUGCAAUUGGAUUUGUAGCCAAGAGGCGCCUUCCGAUUUCAAGUUGGAAAGUGGUUUGUGUCAUUAAAGGCACAUUAAAGGCAGUUUUGGUUUCUUUAAGUGUUACUGUAUGAGGUACUUAUCCACAUAGUCAGUGUGUUAUCUACAGUAGAUGACAGUGUGCAUGCCUUCAGUUGGAAGAAGCAGAGAGGACUGCUGGCAGAGAAACAAGCCUAUUAGCUUGCUGUGAAUGGAUUUAGCAGCAAAAUGUAUUUUAGUGUAAGCCAUAAUCCUAUCUGCUCCAUGGGCGCCUUGGAGUGGCUGACCACAGCUUUCUAACAAGCUGGCCUUUGUGAAAAGAGAAUUUCCCCUCUGCAGGACUGUUAAAGUAUUGUAUUUCUACACAUACUUGCUCUAUGGCUGUGAAAAUGUAGUCCUAAACAAAAGUGCUGUCAGGUGGCAAAUUUAGUGUACUCUAAAUACCAGCAACAACGUGCCACCUUCCAACCGAAGGUGCUGUGUGAUAGUGGCUGGUUACACUUUGCUGUUGAUCAGACUGUCCCAUCAGUACCAUGUUAAAGAUGCAAUUAAUGUUAAUUAUCUACCUUUAUGACAAGUACUAUUGGAAAUGUAUACAUAUCUACUUUUAUUUCUACCAGUACAGAUAGUGUAGUGCAUGAAAAUGUGCUUGAAAUACAUGAAACUGCUCUGAUUGCUGGCAUUACGAUGGGUGCUUCUGUUUGAGCUAGCCUCAGUAUUAAUGCCCUGAUAUUAGAGAAACAGCACACUCUAGUCUACAUGGUAUCAGUAAAGAGAAUGCUGUUAAUAACCUUAUCAUAGCGUCAGAUAAUGGACUGGUCUCUAUACUUAUUUUAUUGGACCUUAGUGCAGCAUUCGAUACAAUCGACCACAAACUUUUAUUACAGCGACUAGAACAUUGUAUUGGCAUUAAAAGGACAGCACUGGACUGGUUUAAAUCCUACUUAUCAGACAGGUUCCAGUUUGUGCACGUCAACAAAGACUCUUCUGAGAAUACUAGGGUUAAUCAUGGAGUUCCUCAGGGUUCUGUCUUAGGACCAAUACUGUUCACAUUAUACAUGCUUCCCUUAGGCAAUAUUAUUAGGAAGCACUGUAUUAAUUUCCAUUGUUAUGCUGACGACACUCAAUUGUAUUUAUCUAUGAAGCCAAAUGAAACUAAUCAGCUAGCUAGACUGCAAGAUUGUCUUAAGGACAUAAAGACCUGGAUGACCUAUAAUUUCUUACUACUAAAUUCAGACAAGACUGAAGUCAUUGUGUUUGGCCCCAAACAUCUUAGAGAAUUGCUUUCAAAGCAUAUAGUUACUCUGGAUGGCAUUACAUUGGCCUCCAGUACUACUGUGACGAACCUCGGUGUUAUCUUUGACCAGGACAUGUCCUUUAACUCGCACAUAAAACAAAUCUGUAGGACUUCCUUUUUCCACCUGAGAAAUAUUGUGAAAAUCAGGAACAUCCUGUCUCAGAGUGAUGCAGAAAAACUAGUCCAUGCAUUUGUUACUUCUAGGCUUGACUACUGUAAUUCCUUAUUAUCAGGUUGUCCCAAUAGCUCUCUGAAACAUCUACAACUGAUCCAAAAUGCUGCAGCCAGAGUACUGACGGGAGUUAGCAAGAGAGAUCAUAUUUCUCCUAUAUUGGUUUCUCUUCAUUGGCUUCCUGUUAAAUCUAGAAUAGAAUUCAAAAUCCUUCUUCUGACAUAUAAAGCUCUUAACAACUAAUCUCCAUCAUAUCUUAAAGACCUGAUAGUACCAUAUUAUCCUAGCAGAACUCUUCACUCUCAGACUGCAGGCUUACUUGUUGUUCCUAGAAUCUCUAAAAGUAGAAUGGGAGGCAGAGCCUUCAGUUAUCAGCUCCUCUCCUGUGGAACCAGCUCCCAGUUUGGGUUCAGGAGGUGGACACCCUCUCUAUUUUUAAGACCAGGCUUAAAACCUUCCUUUUUGACAAAGCUUAUAGUUAGGGCUGACUGGGGGACCCUGACGGGGUAUGCUGGUGUUUUCAUUUGCACAACUGACUUCCCCUCUUGACGUCCCUUUAGUUUGCCCCUAGUUAUGCUGCUAUAGGCCUAGGCUGCUGGGGAACCUCUCUUGAUGCACUGAGCCCUUCUCUAACUACCUAUGUAUUUACAAUAUAUACCAUUAUUGCAUUACACUCACUCUGUUUCUUUCUGUGUCCUUUCUCCGAGUGUCCCUGGUCCCAGAACUGGAUGCUUCAGAUGUGUGGUUGUUCUCCCACCUCCAGCUGCCCAUUUCCACCAAUCUACUCUGCAUUGCCCUUACUAUACUUGAUUUGCUCAUCUACAUAUUUUUGAAUUUACCACCAGCUAUAUAUGUAGUAUAUUUAAUGCCAGAGCCAUACACCAUAGCAGUAAACUAUAAUUAGUUCCCAUGUUAGUUGUACUUCGCAUGUAUCAUCUGUCUUAUCAUGCAUGUAUUAUACUGUGUGUUUUAUGGUCCUUGUGUCCCCCCCACCUCUCUAUCUCUACCUCUACCCCUCUAUCUCUACCUCUAUCCCUCUAUCUGUAUCCCUCUAUCUCUAUCUCUACCCCUCCAUCUCUACCCCUCUACCUCUUCCCCUCUACCUCCAUCCCUCUAUCUCUACCUCUCUACCUCUUCUGUCCCUCUCAACCCGCCCGGCCAGCAGCAGAUGGGUCCCCCCACAUAAAGAGCCGAGUUCUGCUCGAGGUUUUUUUCCCUGUUAAAAGGGUGUUUUCCUUGCCACUGUCGCCUUUUGGCUUGCUCUGGGGUUCAGGCAUAUGGUGUCUGUAAAGCGUCUCGAGACAAUUUGACUGUAAUUGGCGCUAUAUAAAUAAAAUUGAAUUGAAUUGAA